CCUACGGGGGGCAGCAGUGGGGAAUAUUGGACAAUGGGCGAAAGCCUGAUCCAGCCAUGCCGCGUGUGUGAAGAAGGCCUUCGGGUUGUAAAGCACUCUCAGUGGGGAAGAAAGCCUUGGGGCUAAUACCCUCGAGGAAGGACAUCACCCACAGAAGAAGCACCGGCUAACUCCGUGCCAGCAGCCGCGGUAAUACGGAGGGUGCGAGCGUUAAUCGGAAUUACUGGGCGUAAAGCGCGCGUAGGCGGUCUGAUAAGCCGGUUGUGAAAGCCCCGGGCUCAACCUGGGAACGGCAUCCGGAACUGUCAGGCUAGAGUGCAGGAGAGGAAGGUAGAAUUCCCGGUGUAGCGGUGAAAUGCGUAGAGAUCGGGAGGAAUACCAGUGGCGAAGGCGGCCUUCUGGACUGACACUGACGCUGAGGUGCGAAAGCGUGGGUAGCAAACAGGAUUAGAUACCCGGGUAGUC
Molecule: ribosomal RNA, 465 nt
Filed under: Vreelandella stevensii
Lineage: Bacteria; Pseudomonadati; Pseudomonadota; Gammaproteobacteria; Oceanospirillales; Halomonadaceae
Description: partial 16S ribosomal RNA
Rfam family: Bacterial small subunit ribosomal RNA
Source: RNAcentral